RNAcentral lists this ribosomal RNA (253 nucleotides) under uncultured bacterium. Its description in RNAcentral is "partial 16S ribosomal RNA". It matches the Rfam family "Bacterial small subunit ribosomal RNA", at positions 524 to 776 of the family's 1533-position model. The record is from RNAcentral.
UACGUAGGGUGCGAGCGUUGUCCGGAAUUAUUGGGCGUAAAGAGCUCGUAGGCGGCCUGUCGCGUCGGUUGUGAAAGCCCGGGGCUUAACCCCGGGUCUGCAGUCGAUACGGGCAGGCUAGAGUUCGGUAGGGGAGAUCGGAAUUCCUGGUGUAGCGGUGAAAUGCGCAGAUAUCAGGAGGAACACCAAUGGCGAAGGCAGCUCGCUGGGACGGUACUGACGCUGAGGAGCGAAAGCGUGGGGAGCAAACAGG